RNAcentral lists this ribosomal RNA (497 nucleotides) under uncultured bacterium. RNAcentral's name for it is "partial 16S ribosomal RNA". It matches the Rfam family "Bacterial small subunit ribosomal RNA", at positions 28 to 507 of the family's 1533-position model. The record is from RNAcentral.
GAUGAACGCUGGCGGCGUGCCUAAUACAUGCAAGUCGAGCGAACAGACGAGGAGCUUGCUCCUCUGACGUUAGCGGCGGACGGGUGAGUAACACGUGGAUAACCUACCUAUAAGACUGGGAUAACUUCGGGAAACCGGAGCUAAUACCGGAUAAUAUAUUGAACCGCAUGGGUCAAUAGUGAAAGACGGUUUUGCUGUCACUUAUAGAUGGAUCCGCGCCGCAUUAGCUAGUUGGUAAGGUAACGGCUUACCAAGGCAACGAUGCGUAGCCGAACUGAGAGAGUGAUCGGCCACACGGGAACUGAGACACGGUCCAGACUCCUACGGGAGGCAGCAGUAGGGAAUCUUCCGCAAUGGGCGAAAGCCUGACGGAGCAACGCCGCGUGAGUGAUGAAGGUCUUCGGAUCGUAAAACUCUGUUAUUAGGGAAGAACAAAUGUGUAAGUAACUAUGCACGUAUUGACGGUACCUAAUCAGAAAGCCACGGCUAACUACGUG